This 301-nucleotide ribosomal RNA is filed under the name uncultured bacterium. RNAcentral's name for it is "partial 16S ribosomal RNA". It matches the Rfam family "Bacterial small subunit ribosomal RNA", at positions 509 to 807 of the family's 1533-position model. The record is from RNAcentral.
CAGCAGCCGCGGGAAUACGUAGGUGGCAAGCGUUGUCCGGAAUUAUUGGGCGUAAAGGGCUCGCAGGCGGUUUCUUAAGUCUGAUGUGAAAGCCCCCGGCUCAACCGGGGAAGGUCAUUGGAAACUGGGAAACUUGAGUGCAGAAGAGGAGAGUGGAAUUCCACGUGUAGCGGUGAAAUGCGUAGAGAUGUGGAGGAACACCGGUGGCGAAGGCGACUCUCUGGUCUGUAACUGACGCUGAGGAGCGAAAGCGUGGGGAGCGAACAGGAUUAGAUACCCGAGUAGUCCCUGUCUCUUAUAC